Molecule: long non-coding RNA, 265 nt
Filed under: Capsicum annuum
Lineage: Eukaryota; Viridiplantae; Streptophyta; Magnoliopsida; Solanales; Solanaceae
Description: long non-coding RNA (CANN_LNC000329)
Source: RNAcentral
ACGCUUUUGUUAUUGAAAUCCUUACUAGCAUCAUCCCUUUCAUUACAUGGAUUCAGAAAUAUGCUGCUCCUUUUGUAGGUGUGGUUACCCUACUAACGCCUCAUACUAUGACUUGACCUUUCAUCCGACAAGUAACAGGAAUAACUAUAUUUUCAAUAAAUAAAAUAGAAAUAAUUCAAAAAAAAUUAGAACAAUUAUAUAGUGAAGAUCACAAAGAUUAGCCUACUUAAUUACAUUAAUAUCUAGUAUUGAAAUUGUAGGGGGG